GACGAACGCUGGCGGCAUGCCUAACACAUGCAAGUCGAACGGAGUUUCUUAAAUGGAUCCCUUCGGGGUGAAGCUUUUGAAACUUAGUGGCGGACGGGUGAGUAACGCGUGGGUAACCUGCCCUUUUGUGGGGAACAACUUCGAGAAAUCGGAGCUAAUACCGCAUAUACUUACGGAAUCGCAUGAUUCUGUAAGGAAGAUGGCCUCGCGUCCGAUUAGAUAGUUGGUGAGGUAACGGCCCACCAAGUCUACGAUCGGUAGCCGAACUGAGAGGUUGAUCGGCCACAUUGGGACUGAGACACGGCCCAGACUCCUACGGGAGGCAGCAGUGGGGAAUAUUGGGCAAUGGGCGAAAGCCUGACCCAGCAACGCCGCGUGAAGGAUGACGGUCUUCGGAUUGUAAACUUCUUUAAUUGGGGAAGAAUAAAUGACCUACCCAAAGAAUAAGUCACGGCUAACUACGUG
This 465-nucleotide ribosomal RNA is filed under the name uncultured bacterium. RNAcentral's name for it is "bacterial SSU rRNA". It matches the Rfam family "Bacterial small subunit ribosomal RNA", at positions 28 to 507 of the family's 1533-position model. The record is from RNAcentral.